ACUGUUCAGUGAUGGGCCCAGAGCAAGCCCUGAGCAGUGUCUGAACUGUGAGGGGUGGCACCAUGUUGCCUUCCUUCUGAGAAAGC
This is a small nucleolar RNA of Rhea pennata, 86 nucleotides long. RefSeq annotates it as small nucleolar RNA U83B. Lineage: Eukaryota; Metazoa; Chordata; Aves; Rheiformes; Rheidae. The record is from RefSeq and is a predicted model, not a curated record. The transcript has a single exon.